Molecule: small nucleolar RNA, 140 nt
Organism: Tachyglossus aculeatus (Australian echidna)
Lineage: Eukaryota; Metazoa; Chordata; Mammalia; Monotremata; Tachyglossidae
Source: RefSeq, a predicted model, not a curated record
CCUCUCUCAGGAUGGAACCUGGAGAGUUUUUCCAGUACUCUAUCGGUCUUGGUUAUGGGAGGGAGAGUCAAGCAGAGGCCUACCCAUUCCAUUCCUAGCUUGGGCAGUGGCUAGCGAGUGGAAGGCAAUCUGCUACAAGU